GGGCAGGCACUUAAGUGUCACUUCUCUUCCCUUACUCACGGGGGGUGGCCGCCACUUUGUGAAAGGGAUUUUCAGCAUAAGACCAGGACUUAGAAGGUAUUGUUGCUGUCUCAGGAACUGUGUGCAUGCGUUCCAUGUGAGGGCAGAGAGCUGGCAGGUGAGACUCCAGUACCGGGAGAAGUUGGGUGCAGAAAGGCUGGCAAGUAAGCUCCCUUGCUGCUGCAUGUUGCUGCCUUGGGGCAGCCCCGCAGAUGCAUCCUCUCUGGACCUGGAUUCUGGCGCUGGUGACUCAAAGCAGCAGGGAUGACGCAGAGCCCACUCUGGCCAGCGCACAGCAGCCGUGGCAGCUGCAUCCGGUUUCCGGGGCAGGAGAGACAGCUGUUAUGUGGCAGUGUGCAAGGUCCUGCGCCCAAGGACUCAGCCGUCUGAACCACAGGGCCAGAGCGUGGCAGCUGGGUGGUGACAUCACAGGGUUGGCUCUGUGGAAUGCGCUGGGCGCGGUCCUGCCGGCAUGGUUCCCUUCCCACCUUUGCUUCUUAAAUUAGCUUAACAGUUGACUUCAUGUGCUGGCAGCAAAUACCAGUGCUAUUAACAAUAACUGGCUCUGCGUGCUUUCUCUGUGCCACGUGAAGCUCUGAAUGCCUUCUGUGUAUUAGCUUGGUUCACUUUUACAACAGCCCCUCAAGGCAGGGACUGGUACAAUCCCUAUUUUACAGAUGACAAAAGUGAGUUGCUGAAAGAUCAGGUUAGUUGGCCAAGGUCGCAUAACUAAGUCGUGGCUCUGAAAGUCAAACCUACUCCGUCUGGCCUUGUUCUUAAGCGCCCUGACUAAUGUGCCUACUGUUUUGUAACCUGAUUUUUUUCAUGUAACAAAAUUUCAUAAAUAUUUCCCUGUCAUGCAAUAUUCAUUUACAUAUUUAAAGCGGCAAGGAGGAUUCAUGAUUUAUUUAACCAACUCCCUACUGUUAGACAUUAAAGACAUCGCGACAGCUAAACUUUUUUCUUAAUAUCCAUGCUAGUUCCUUGCAAAAGAGUCCUUAAUACCUUAGAAUGCUUGCUCCAAGGGAGUUCAAAUUACCUUCCUGAAACAUGACUCCGACUUUCAUACCCAGCAGUAUAUGAAAGCAUCCUGAUUCUCUGAAUUCUUGUUAACGUUGAAUAUUAUCAUUACAUUCUUUUCUUUGUAGCACCAAAAAUGAUAAAUCUUUUUCUAUUAAAUUUGAAGUCCUUUAAACAUUUAAAUAUAUAUUGUUCGGCUACUUGUCCAAGAUCUUUUAAUAAAUUGUCUUGUUCAUCAUGAAGUUGAAACUAGUUCAAGACUCUUCUUGCUCUGACUCAAACUACUCUAAUUUUCCUACAAGUCCUAGACAUUCACUGUAAGCACUCACAGGGAUUACUGUGGCCGAGACUGAGCCAUACGAAUGUGCUAUUUUUUUGUAGGCCCAACAGUGGUGGACUGGGGACAGUUUCAGAUGGUGAGACCUAUUAAAUCUGAAAACCUUUGUUUUCACGCUGCGUCUCCCCCUCUCCACUUGGUGGUAUCCUGCUAGUGUUUUAGAGGCUGAGUUCAUAGAACAGGUCCUCUCCGUGGUUCCCUUACCGCUCCUCCUCAGGGGUCUGUCUGCCUGCCUGUCUGUCUCUCCUUCCCUCCCUCUCUUGCCAUUCUGCAUUUGUUCCGUCCCAUCACAGCGAUGCAGCGGGCUCCCGGCAUUGCAGCUGGGUAUUCCCCUUGCACCUCCCGGCAGAGCCAAGUCCACGGUGCUGCCUCCCAGCAGAACCUCCAUCCUCCCCCGUUGGCAGCCGCAGGGACCAGCGAAGUUUCUGGUUCAGCACAUUCACACCAAAGAGCUCUUGAAUUGAAGAAUCAGUGCUUUAGGGCACCAGGGAGCGCCACAUAAUACUUGCAGUUUCCUUCCAUGGUGAAUACAGCGUGUGUCCUGCCUUCCUAACAUCUCCUGAUUUGGUCGGUGUUUUGUGUGGAAUUGCUCCUCUUUCUUUUGAACCCUACAUUGCUCUAGUUUAUUUUUUCCUGUAUUUUUAGGUGUGGUGAUGGAAUUGCAUUAUAACGAAAUUAUUUUAUUCGGUGGCAAAAUUCACAAGAAUGACACAACACAACUCUCUAACUUGCUAAAUAAGUAAUCAAUGUACUCCUGAAGGGAUGAAUUGUACUGUCUCCGUCUGUACUUUUAACCAUAUUCACUUUCUCUCUUAGUUAGACUGUCAGAAACUCUUAGUGGCUUCCAGGAAACAUGAUGCUCCAGAUAGACAGAGUUAUAACAAGCUACGGGAAACAUUAAAAAUAAAAUAUUUUGAAAUCACUUAAACGGAAUCUUUUUUAGACAAAAUCUUCUGUAUAUAAAAGGGAUUGCUAUAGAUGGGAUCUGAAGUGUCCCCAAGCCGCAUGCUAAGGUCUCAGUUGGCAUUCUACCGCGCUGCGAGGAGGUGGGAGACCCUUUAAGGGGCGGGGCCUAGUGAAAGGCCCGUCACUGGGGGCGUGGCCUUGAAGGGGAUACAGAGAUUCUGGCCCUUUCUCUUUUGCUUGGAGACCUCUGGGAGGCCUACUGCUCAAGAGAGCCAACUUACUAUGGGGCUCAAACCCAGGAUCUUCCCACUAAGCUACACCCUCAGCGUCCCCCCUUCUAUUUACUUAUUUUUAUUUUGAGACAGAGCCACACUAAGUUGCUAGUUGCCCAGGUAGGAUCCUCCUGCCUUGGCCUCCCUGAGUGCUGGGUGCCAUCGAAGGCGUGUGCCACCAGGUCCAGCUCCUUUCCUCAGGCCGGUUAUUUCAGGCAUUGUGUCACAGACAUGGAAAGCUGGCCGACCCAGGGCUUUUCUGCGCACACUCAGUCUCAGCCAGGGAAUGAUGGAACCCUGAGGGUGGGUGAGAGCCCAACGGUGUCAGUGUGUGCUCCUUGGGGACAAAAUGCCAGGUGAGAGGGAGGGAAGGAAGACCACAGUCUGGGCUGAGAUUUGGCUGGGUGUCCCACUCAAGGUCAUCUGAGCACUGGUUCAACUCCUGCUCAUCUUUUCUCCCCCACCUGCCCAGCCCUAACCAUUCCUGGAUGAGCUCAGGUUGUGCUUCUGGCUCGCAGUCCUCACGGCUGCUUGCUCUGCUUCCUCUCCAGCCACGGACAAUGCUGGCCUGUUCUUCCCUGGGCCUGUGCACUCAGCACUGCACCUUUUGUAAGUGGCCUUCUUGUGUACUAGGCAGUGGGCUCCAUGAUCAGAUCCAAAGACCCAGGAGACCUGUUUGAGAUGUUUACAAAGUGAUGGAGUGUUAUCAAUAAAAGGACAGAUAAUAGCAAGUGCUGGUGAGAAUGCAGAGAAAUUUGAAUCCUCAUGGGAACAAAAAAUGGGGUAGCCACCUUGGAAAAGUCAGUUCUUCAAAUACUCAGUUACCAUGUGACUCUGCAAGGUCACUCUUAGGUUUACUUAAAGGAAAUGAAAAUGUAUCCAUCUUGUAUGCUGAUGUUCUUAGUGGCAAUAUUUAUAAUAGCAAGAGAAAAAACAUCUUCUGCCAUCUGAGGAAUAGAUAAAUAAAAUGUGGUAUAUUCACAAAAUGGAAUAUGAUUCAGCACUUGAAAGGAAUGCAGGCUAGUGAUGGUAUAACAUGGAUGAAACUUGAAGAUAUGUUAGGUAAAAGAACCAUGUCACAAAGGCCCUCCUAUCACAGGAUCUACAUAUAUAAAAUACACAUAUAGCUAAGUAUGCAGACAGAAAAUACAUUAAUGGUUGCCUACAAUGAUGGCAAUGUCUUUUUGGGGGUAAUGUGAAUGUUCUAAAAUUAAUUAUGGUAACAGAGGUAGGUCUGUGAAUACACUAAAAUGGGUGAAUUGUAUAGUAUGUGA
Chinchilla lanigera (long-tailed chinchilla) is the source of this 3848-nucleotide long non-coding RNA. RefSeq lists it as uncharacterized. The transcript has 3 exons. NCBI's taxonomy places the organism in Eukaryota, Metazoa, Chordata, Mammalia, Rodentia, Chinchillidae. The record is from RefSeq and is a predicted model, not a curated record.